AAAGGGAGACCUAAUUCAGGUAUAAGACGAAAAAAAAGUAGUCCCUACCAAGAAUCAAUCCCAAAGGGUCGGAACGAGGUAUGAGGCUUUCAAACUAGGUUCUGGGUUCAUAAAAGACCUGAAUCAGGAACAAGGGCUAUUAGCUCAGGUGGUUAGAGCGCACCCCUGAUAAGGGUGAGGUCCCUGGUUCGAGUCCAGGAUGGCCCACCUGCACAGGUGGCAAAAACAAGAGAAGCGAGGAAUCAGCACCUUAUCUUAUAUACAUAUAUAAGAGAGAAUGCUGGCUCUGAGUACAGAGUCCAGAGGAACCUUGAAAACUGCAUAGAGCUAGGUGAAAAAGCCAAAAAAGAAGACCGCAAG
Molecule: transfer RNA, 360 nt
Filed under: uncultured Microcystis sp.
Lineage: Bacteria; Bacillati; Cyanobacteriota; Cyanophyceae; Chroococcales; Microcystaceae
Description: partial 16S-23S ribosomal RNA intergenic spacer
Rfam family: tRNA (bases 134-207)
Source: RNAcentral